GAUGAAGACGCAGCGAAAUGCGAUAAGUAGUGUGAAUUGCAGAAUUCAGUGAAUCAUCGAAUCUUUGAACGCACAUUGCGCCCCUUGGUAUUCCAUGGGGCAUGCCUGUUCGAGCGUCAUUUGUACCUUCAAGCUUUGCUUGGUGUUGGGUGUUUGUCCCGAGGGACUCGCCUUAAAGUAAUUGGCAGCCAGUGUUUGGUUUUGAAGCGCAGCACAAGUCGCGAUUCAAGGCUACACGCCCGCUUCCACAAGCCUUUUUUCACUUUUGACCUCGGAUCAGGUAGGGAUACCCGCUGAACUUAAGCAUAUCAAUAAGCGGAGGA
Molecule: unclassified non-coding RNA, 323 nt
Filed under: soil metagenome
Description: partial contains 5.8S ribosomal RNA, internal transcribed spacer 2, and large subunit ribosomal RNA
Rfam family: 5.8S ribosomal RNA (bases 1-119)
Source: RNAcentral